Molecule: ribosomal RNA, 912 nt
Filed under: Staphylococcus hominis
Lineage: Bacteria; Bacillati; Bacillota; Bacilli; Caryophanales; Staphylococcaceae
Description: bacterial SSU rRNA
Rfam family: Bacterial small subunit ribosomal RNA
Source: RNAcentral
UGCAAGUCGAGCGAACAGACGAGGAGCUUGCUCCUUUGACGUUAGCGGCGGACGGGUGAGUAACACGUGGGUAACCUACCUAUAAGACUGGGAUAACUUCGGGAAACCGGAGCUAAUACCGGAUAAUAUUUCGAACCGCAUGGUUCGAUAGUGAAAGAUGGCUUUGCUAUCACUUAUAGAUGGACCUGCGCCGUAUUAGCUAGUUGGUAAGGUAACGGCUUACCAAGGCAACGAUACGUAGCCGACCUGAGAGGGUGAUCGGCCACACUGGAACUGAGACACGGUCCAGACUCCUACGGGAGGCAGCAGUAGGGAAUCUUCCGCAAUGGGCGAAAGCCUGACGGAGCAACGCCGCGUGAGUGAUGAAGGUCUUCGGAUCGUAAAACUCUGUUAUUAGGGAAGAACAAACGUGUAAGUAACUGUGCACGUCUUGACGGUACCUAAUCAGAAAGCCACGGCUAACUACGUGCCAGCAGCCGCGGUAAUACGUAGGUGGCAAGCGUUAUCCGGAAUUAUUGGGCGUAAAGCGCGCGUAGGCGGUUUUUUAAGUCUGAUGUGAAAGCCCACGGCUCAACCGUGGAGGGUCAUUGGAAACUGGAAAACUUGAGUGCAGAAGAGGAAAGUGGAAUUCCAUGUGUAGCGGUGAAAUGCGCAGAGAUAUGGAGGAACACCAGUGGCGAAGGCGACUUUCUGGUCUGUAACUGACGCUGAUGUGCGAAAGCGUGGGGAUCAAACAGGAUUAGAUACCCUGGUAGUCCACGCCGUAAACGAUGAGUGCUAAGUGUUAGGGGGUUUCCGCCCCUUAGUGCUGCAGCUAACGCAUUAAGCACUCCGCCUGGGGAGUACGACCGCAAGGUUGAAACUCAAAGGAAUUGACGGGGACCCGCACAAGCGGUGGAGCAUGUGGUUUAA